AGCAGAUGAAUCCUAAUGAUUCUGGUGAUCCCCUGACUUUUCCUCUAGUGCCACCCUGUGGUCACUAUUGGAUGGAUUGGCAAUACAUUUGGUACGAACAUUCAUGUUAGCCUCAGGGUGAAUUGAAAUUACUUUGUGAUCCUUCAAGAUUCCAUAUAGCGCCAUCAUCAGUGUUUCCAGCUGUUCUCCCCCUUCCCUUGUGUGUCCUGUUUGUCCCCUGUUGAUUUCUGUCUGUAUUGGGGUGUGUGUGUGUGUGUGUGUGUGUGUGAUCUGGUCUAGGCGUGGCCUUCAUUCCCUCCCUCCUACAAACCUGCAACCAACUACCAAUCAAGCCUUGCAGUCAAGCCUCCUGCACACCAGCUAUCCAUCCAAUGAUCCAGUUCCAGCAGUAUAUAACCCCGGCUCUCCUCUCCAGUCUAUGUAUACCAUGAUCAUACUCACCUGUGUACCGUCUGCCUACGAACCUGCCUGCCAGUCUGUCUGCCUGGAUUUACGCUCUUCUGUGUAUUUGUUUGCCAAUAACCUGCCUGCCUACCCGCCUAGACUCCGUGUCAACUCAAGACUGCCUGCUAAAACAGAAAAUACCACUGUAAGAUCUCAGUCUACCCUCAAGCAACUCUG
Siniperca chuatsi (mandarin fish) is the source of this 621-nucleotide long non-coding RNA. RefSeq lists it as uncharacterized. The transcript is spliced from 3 exons. Lineage: Eukaryota; Metazoa; Chordata; Actinopteri; Centrarchiformes; Sinipercidae. The record is from RefSeq and is a predicted model, not a curated record.